CGGCGGCCCAGGGUAGGGGGAGGUGGCAGAAGGAGGACAGAUGGUCUCCCUCAUGGUGGCUGAAAUAAAAGAGGGAAUUAGACGACUCCAAGGUGUACACUCUGACGGCAAUUACGGCAAAUAGAUUGGAAGUGGACCUGCAGGCACCCGGGGAGGUGGCUCCUGGGGGAAGAGCUCCACCUCACUGCAUCUGGAACCUUGUAAUGGUUGGAGUGAGACAGUCCAGAGAGUGUCAUGGAGUGACAUUUACAGCCCUUUCUGUGGGGAAACAGGAGGGAGAGCCAUGACGCCUACAACCGCUUUGGUGUUGCACACAUGACAAGAAAGGACUUUCACAUUGGGAGGGACGUGGCGCCGUAUACGACAGGAAAUCCUUCCGUCAAGUGUUUUAUUACCAAGCACACUGAGGUAAUGCUUUCAUGGGCAGGGUCUGUUUUUUUUUUUCCUAUGUCCACAAAAAUGACCAUAAUUUUUGUCAAACUUUGAGCUUGGUACAGUUUUGUGCUGAUGAACGUGUAUAAUCAUGCACACACGGAAAAAUAUCAACAGUAAAUCUUAGCGAAUACAAAAUAAAAAGUUAAAUACACAAUUGUGAAGACCAGUCACGGUAAAACAGACACAGAAUCCUGAAAAAUCCUCGUGGAGGCGUGGCACAAAGGCCACGGAAGAAACUGACAUUGGGAUGCUUUACAACACAAGUGACAGGAACCGGCUCUUUAA
Molecule: long non-coding RNA, 720 nt
Organism: Hippocampus zosterae (dwarf seahorse)
Lineage: Eukaryota; Metazoa; Chordata; Actinopteri; Syngnathiformes; Syngnathidae
Exons: 3
Source: RefSeq, a predicted model, not a curated record